Molecule: ribosomal RNA, 510 nt
Filed under: uncultured bacterium
Lineage: Bacteria
Description: partial 16S ribosomal RNA
Rfam family: Bacterial small subunit ribosomal RNA
Source: RNAcentral
GACGAACGCUGGCGGCGUGCUUAACACAUGCAAGUCGAACGAAGAGCGAUGGAAGCUUGCUUCUAUCAAUCUUAGUGGCGAACGGGUGAGUAACGCGUAAUCAACCUGCCCUUCAGAGGGGGACAACAGUUGGAAACGACUGCUAAUACCGCAUACGAUCUAAUCUCGGCAUCGAGGAUAGAUGAAAGGUGGCCUCUACAUGUAAGCUAUCACUGAAGGAGGGGAGUGCGUCUGAUUAGCUAGUUGGAGGGGUAACGGCCCACCAAGGCGAGGAGCAGUAGCCGGUCUGAGAGGAUGAACGGCCACAUUGGGACUGAGACACGGCCCAGACUCCUACGGGAGGCUGCAGUGGGGAAUCUUCCGCAAUGGACGAAAGUCUGACGGAGCAACGCCGCGUGAGUGAUGACGGCCUUCGGGUUGUAAAGCUCUGUUAAUCGGGACGAAAGGCCUUCUUGCGAAUAGUGAGAAGGAUUGACGGUACCGGAAUAGAAAGCCACGGCUAACUACGUG